UACGUAGGUGGCAAGCGUUGUCCGGAAUUAUUGGGCGUACAGCGCGCGCAGGCGGCCUCUUAAGUCUGAUGUGAAAGCCCCCGGCUCAACCCGGGGAGGGCCAUUGGAAACUGGGAGGCUUGAGUAUAGGAGAGAAGAGUGGAAUUCCACGUGUAGCGGUGAAAUGCGUAGAGAUGUGGAGGAACACCAGUGGCGAAGGCGACUCUUUGGCCUAUAACUGACGCUGAGGCGCGAAAGCGUGGGGAGCAAACAGG
Molecule: ribosomal RNA, 254 nt
Filed under: uncultured bacterium
Lineage: Bacteria
Description: partial 16S ribosomal RNA
Rfam family: Bacterial small subunit ribosomal RNA
Source: RNAcentral